Molecule: ribosomal RNA, 289 nt
Filed under: Helicobacter pylori
Lineage: Bacteria; Pseudomonadati; Campylobacterota; Epsilonproteobacteria; Campylobacterales; Helicobacteraceae
Description: partial 23S ribosomal RNA
Rfam family: Bacterial large subunit ribosomal RNA
Source: RNAcentral
GAGGAAGCGUUGAAUUGAAGCCCGAGUAAACGGCGGCCGUAACUAUAACGGUCCUAAGGUAGCGAAAUUCCUUGUCGGUUAAAUACCGACCUGCAUGAAUGGCGUAACGAGAUGGGAGCUGUCUCAACCAGAGAUUCAGUGAAAUUGUAGUGGAGGUGAAAAUUCCUCCUACCCGCGGCAAGACGGAAAGACCCCGUGGACCUUUACUACAACUUAGCACUGCUAAUGGGAAUAUCAUGCGCAGGAUAGGUGGGAGGCUUUGAAGUAAGGGCUUUGGCUCUUAUGGAGA